This 6715-nucleotide long non-coding RNA is filed under the name Gallus gallus (chicken). Lineage: Eukaryota; Metazoa; Chordata; Aves; Galliformes; Phasianidae. The record is from RNAcentral.
AAUGAAAUUUGCUGGUUACUACUUUUUUUUUCCUCCUAAAUGACAACUGCUUUUUCUUGCUUUUGAUAUUAGAAGUGGUUUAGGUGUCCAAAGCUAAGUUUUAUUUAGUUUGCCAUUGACUGAGCAUUUAAAAGGGCUGAAAGCAAGGUGCAGCUCAUACUUUGUUUUUAAAUGUCAUGUUUCUAUUUUCAUUUAUGGGACUUGAUGAACACAAAACCCAGUGCAGUUACCGUUUCCUGGAGUUUCCUUUUCUAUCUCACUUAGUUUAUUUUAAUCAGGGAAGUCUCCAGCACCGAUUGUCACUGUACAAGUUGCUCUGGAUAAAACAAUGACAGCAUAUUUUUCAACCAACCCCUUUGGGUAUAGUUGGGUUUCCUGUGACGUUGCGACAGGUCUUAUUUUUUUUUCUCUCCAGAAGUUCAGGGUGGGCAUUGUAGGCUCCAUGUUCUGCUUAACGGCACAUGGCUUUUUCACGUGUCAUUGGGUGAUGUAUGGAGGCAGUAACAGGACAUCUCCUGCACACUGUUCUCCUUUGGUGCCUCAGAUCCUCUCUGAGUUAGUUGGCACUGACAUUUGCAAGCUGGGGGGUUCUGCUUGGGUUGCUGCACCCCAAAAUACGAACUCUGCUGAAACAGUCAGAAGUGUUUCCAAUAUGUGUCAGUUAUGGAGCCGUUGUCUGUUGUAUGCAGACUUAUUCUUUACAACCACAGUUAUGACGCUGGUCCAUCCCAUGAUAAUUGGUAAAUACUGGUACAUACUUACUGUUAAAUUAAAGCAAUUAAUUGCUCUCAGAAAUAAUGAAUAGCUCUACUGCAAAAAUGGAGAGCAAAAGCAACUAUAAAGCUGGUUGCUUUCAGUCCCUUUUUCUUUUAAUUUUUUAUUUUUUUUUUCUGUUUCACCCUACAGAAAGCUGUAGAUACUGCCAACAAAAUCUUGUCUGCAAACACACUUGAAAUUAUGGAGAGAGCCUUUUCCAAGAGUAACAGCUCCACUUAGUGGUGGAUGGAAAGAUGUUCACGGGUUUGAGCAAGGAACAAAUGAUGCAAGUGCUGGUUGACGUUUCGGAGUACAAAACACCCACUGCUCCAAAAUUUGGCAGCAGGAGAGACAGCAGAUUAAUCUCCCCUCUCCCUAAAUUGUUGACAUUUAUCGCUUUCAGGCUUAACAUGUGGUUUAUCUGCUUUUAAAGGAACGUGUUUGUCACUGAAUCUGACAGUGACAGGUCACCUUCAGGAAGCGCAGGGACAUCGACAGUCCUUCGGGGCAUUUCCUUUUCCUCCAGAUAAGUUCUCUGCCCUCAGGGUCUGCAGAGUUUCCCUUCCUUCUUUCUUAGCAACGCUAAGAAUGCAAAAUGCUGAGGCCUAAAAAGUUUAUGGGCGUUCUUUCAUUAUGAAACAACACGCAUUCUAAAAGGACGCAUUUUGAGCUUUUUGUUAUUUUUGCGAGUCAGCGUCCAAAGUAAUUUUAUAACAUUUCAGUAUGGCUCAGCAAACAGAUCUGCAGCUUAAGCUGGAGGUCUCUGUUGGCAGACACUGUCAAAUUCAGAACAAGGCUACUCUGGCCUACGCUGUUUUCAAACAGCAGUGAGGUGUGGCGAUUUGUGCAAGCUGACUGUGCUGUAAAAGAAAGUGAAGGAGGGAAUUGGUGUUUUUCCACUGUAUUUAGUCCUGAGAGAGAUAUCAUCUGUGAUCCAUUGUGCUGUUUAUUGUAGGAUUUUUUUAAACUGUGUUUUUAAUGUCUUGGCCGUUCUGUAUGUGCGUACUACUUCAUUAUCUACUGUGUGUCUAAUCCAGAAAGAAUUUGAUCACAGCAAGGCUGCUCAUUAUUUAAACAUCAAUAUUCUUUUUGUCUCAGCCUCUUCCAUGUCUUCCCCUUCACAUUUGUGUUCUUUGUAUAUACACAGCGCGAGUUUUCAUGUCUCUAAUUCCAUCUUUGUUUAGUCACGCUCUCUACAGUUGGUUAUCUGACUCUUCUUCAUGAGCCCGCUGAGUUGUCUUGGUUUUGUUGUUCUUCUGAAUAAUGAUAGUGGGUGUUUGCAUUGCUUGUUGAAAAGUUGGAGAAGGAGAAAUGCAUACCUAGGACUAACACUUCUUCAUCCUGUGAAGAAAUAAUAGACUUUCAUACUCUUACAGAUUGGCAUUAGUUUGACUAGUAGCUUUUCAGUUAAAGAUCUAGUAAGUGAUUUUUCUCUCUCAUUACUCCUAAGGGUAUUUUAGCAUAUGCAAAGAUUUGGUCUGUGAAACGUUUCUAGCUUUCUGUUUAAAAACAAACAAACCAACAAGUUUCUGUACUUUGUCUUGCAGAUGAGUGAAGAAAAAUUGCACGUAUUAGUUUUUGAUAUUGUUGUUGUUUGCUUUCUGAAGCUUUUCUCCCUGAUUCAUCCAGGUUUGGAGACAGCCUCACCUGCUUUUCCCUGCAGCACUGUUUCGGGCAAGCACUUGCCUGAGUUGUUUCUGGAAAGCCAUUUAUGUGUGCUUUGCAGUGCCUCCAGACAGUCCAUUUCAAUGCUUCGUUGCCCUUAUGGCAGAGAACUGUCCUACCAAAAUCUCCAGCAGUGUAGAUCAGGGAUGCUAUUUCUGGUUGUACCAGUUUCGCAUAUGGAGAAGUUUCUGCUUUGUGUGUCUGCAGGCUCACUUCUUUCUUCAUUCACAAUAAUGUGAUAAUGCUUACACGCAGGAUUUUGUUCCCCUUCAUUGUGUUAGCGGAUCCAUAGCAUUCUCUUUUUGAGGACUGUUUAUAUAGGUUCUGCAUCCUUCUACGCUGUCACUGCCCACUGCCGUCAAGGGCCAGCAUGCCAGCACCUGCAUGGUGAAGUACUGCCUUGAAUUUCCAAGCUGUUUGUGCACUGAACUCAUUUUGUACAUCUAUCCUUUCUAGAGAUGUUUCUGCUGUUUUCUGAAAUCUUCUUAGGCUGCUGUUUUUCAAUAGUGCCUGUUUGAAUAUCAAGAUGAUGAAUAGUGGAGAACAUCAAACUUAAUACCAGCGUAUCCUUAUUUUAGAUGCCAGCCUGUUGAGUCAGACGGUUUUGUAAGAUCUCAAGCUUAUUAAUUCUGUGAGAGACAGCUUCUCGUUAUUUUGGCAUACCUUGACCAAUAAGGGUAUUUUAACUGGUUUAUCCAGGAAUAAUGUGUCCAGCUAGGCUGCUGAACUGAGGAAAACAGCGUGUAGUUUGCUGCUGUGUCUGUCUCUUUGCUGCUGUUCCAUAGCUUUAGGAGCCCUAACCCACCAACUUACCAAGACUCCCGAACCAUCCCCAGCUCACAUGUGAGCAAAGCCUUGAAAUGAAAGAAGCGCUAAGAAGAGCUGAGGAAAAGUUGACAUAAACUAGUUUCACUUGAUUAGAACAACUGCUUUGUUAUGGAUUGUUUCUCCAGAAAUUCUGUACUGUGAUUGCUUAUGAUUAUUUUUCAUUUUGAGUGCUCUAAAGCAUGCUACAUCACUCAGAGGCUUGGAGAUAUUACUUCCUUUACUAAAAUGCCCAUCCGUUAGCUGUAGAAACAAAUAUGAUACAAGAUGAUAAGUCACAGGAAAGUAAUAGGAAAGAGAGUGCAGGCAGAUGGAUUAUAGAAAUGACUCUUUUCUUAGACUUAAAUGUGAUUUAAAUGCAAUACAAUAGCAUGAGGUAUUAGCAAGUGUGUCAUCCCACUCUGUGGGUUGGAAGGUGAAUCUUUGGGACCCCCUGAAAAGGGCACUCUGCUCAGCAGGGUCACAGAAGUGAUAGUCACACCGGUGGCUCACAGUGACUCACAGGAACAAAUAAGGUGAGCUUUCCAACAGCAAUCAAUCAACUACUUCAAGGCAAAAUUAGGCAGCUUUCUAACAGCAGUUAGUAGGCAUUACACUCAAAAGGGUACUUUGGCACAGGUGCUAUUCCCUUACAACUGCUUUGAGGCAAGUUUAGGUGAUGGCUACUAAAGAAAAAUGAGUAAAAGAAGGUUAAGUGGGAAAGAGAAAGGGAGAAAGCAGAGCUUUCACCAUAGCUUAAAUACAGAAUUGCCUUGAGUUGGGAACCAUAAGCCAUGGGUGAUGCGUCAGCAAAAGGUAAAUGUGUGUGGACACUUCAGUAUAGUCCAGUUGAUCUGAGACCUUCCUUAGGGCAGCAACCCCAUCAUGUCUGCGCAGUUUGGUGUUCUACAAGGUCUGGAAAACUUCAGCAAGUGUCUCUGAUGAUCAUGCUCCCUCCUCAGUGAGUUACUCAAACUGUUGUUUUUCAACCAGUAGAGUUAAUCAAACUGAUGUUUUUCAGCUGUAAGAGGAAACAGAUGCUGUGCACGAGAGGAGGUGAAUGCUGUCCAUAAGAAGCAGAGAAAAGCAGUUUGCUGGUGUGCCUCCGCAGGCUUGAUCUGUCAUUCUCCCUGUCUCCCCUUUUCGCAAUGUUUUCUGCUUGAGUUGUUUGAAUCAGCACAAGCCAAGUUUCUUGUCGGUCUCAGAGAGCAAGAAGUGAGUUCUUAUCAGAUGCGGUUUUGAAUAUGUUAUUUUCCAAAUAAGUCUUUUCAAGAAAUACCAGCUCAUCUGAAUUUGCACCAUAAUUAGCUUGUAAUGAGUUUGAGUAAAAUCAGGCUUCUAAUUCCAAGUUUUUAAUUUCCUUCAAGACAGCAGCGUUGCUACAGUAACUUUGCAAGAGCAGGGUUUGCUUUACAUUGGAGUGAAAACAUGAGUCUAGAUGCAAAGGCUGUCACACCUGUUUGUGGCAAUGACUGUUCAGAGGUGAAUGCCAGUGUAGUGUAGUGAAUUGAAAUUCUGAGUACUGCCAGCUUGGUUUGGAAAAAGAACCUGAGGGAAAAAAAGACUGCCAUGUGGAAUAAGAUGAUUCCUUGCUUGGCCAUCUCUUCUAGUGCAUCCCCAUGGCAUGUGGGAGCUUAAAUCUAAAUUAGCUAUUUCAUUUCUUUAUUUUUCAAGUAAUCAAAAAAGCUAUAACGUUUUGUUCAGUACUUUCUGCUUGAAAUAAAUUUUUGGCUUAAAAUAAGAAACAAAUAGGUUAGUCUUUAGAAUUAAAUGCCUGCAUUUAAUACAUUUAGAGUAGGAAGCUCGUAGUUCAGACAUGCUUUCCUCGUCCCGUAAUUCCCCUGUCAUAUUCUGCUGUAUGUGAUUAUGUGAACUGUGACUGUCUGUCUGUGUAAAUUAGGCUGGAUAUUCUGAUCUAGAUAUAGCUAUGAAUUAAAUGCUGCUUUGUCGGCCAUCUCACCCUUGCUCUGCUUUGAAUUUGAUAGGGAAUCAGAAAACAAGUUAGAUAUCGUGCUUAUGUUAAAUAUUUAGCACGUAGUUCACAAAUCUCCAAGAUUAGGGCUUUGGAGCAAAAUUUAUAGCAGCUUUUGUCUUGAUUGACCAGCGGCCCUUUCAUGGAGGAAACGGGGCAGGAGGUAACUCUUGUUUUGUACUUCGGAGACCCGAUCCUACUUCUUUCAGUAAAAAUUCCACAUCUCUUGUGCAGAGCAGGGAGCGGCAUUUACGUGCGAUUGUGGCUAACCUCAAGGAGCUGCAGGGGGUGGGAGAUGAGCCACCUUCUGCAGAGGGACAUCCUGCUGAUGGAUGGAUGACCUGCAGCUGAUGAGCCUCCUGCCCAUCUGCACUGACCCUAUUGGGCACCAUCUUAGGCCAGGCAUCUUCUUGGGAAAUUACAGAAGAUGAAGGAUGAGGAUUCCACACUUCAUGAGUACCAGUUCUGUUGGAGAUACAAGUACACCACCAAGUGUUGUAGAACACUUGCAUUUAGUGCAAGCGUUAAGUGAGCAAAGUGUGAGGAUGGGUCUAGGGAUGUGUUCCCCUCUGAAAGGCAGUGUGUGCAGAGAAGAGACGCCGACGUUGUUGCUUUGACUCAGGCAUUGCUGCGGCAGAGCUGUGUAAGCUCCUUGAAUCCUGAUCUGCUGCAGCCCCUGAGUUCCCCCCCGUGAAGCCUGCUGGGUGUGACAGAUGGUGUAAAUGAAGCCGUGCUGAUGUUAGGUAUGUCAAAACUAAAACAGGUCUGGAUCGCCUGAAAUUAGGAGAGCCACUAAUCCUUUUUAUCAUUAAUACAUACUAAUCUAUUAAACGAGGGAUGACAAAAAUCUUAUCUAAAUGAGAAUUUUAGAUGAUUUGUUGAAAGAACUUUUUAACUUUUUAAUUCACUUUUUACGCUUCUAAUAUCUGAUUUAUCUUGAGUCAUUAAAAUAGAGUAUAGAAUGUGGGUAUGUAUUAAGUCCUACUCCUUCAUACUGUAUUUUUUCAAAAAUAGUCAGGAAAAUUUCCUUUUUGUUACUUGAUCCAUAUUGCCCAAAUGACAUGUGUUGCCUAAACUGUCCUUUAAAUAAUGUUUCUGUUGCAGUCAUAGAAUUCUAGAGUGGUUUAGGUUGGAAGGGACCUUAAAGCCCACCCAGCCCCAACCCCUGCUGUAGGCAGGGCUGCCCCCCAGCAGCUCAGGCUGCCCAGGACCCAUCCAACCUGGCCUUGGGCACCUGCAGGGAUGGGGCACUCACAGCUCUGGGCAGCAGUGCCAGGGCCUCACCACCCUCUGGGUAAAGAACCUUUUCCUAACAUCUAAUCCCUGGUUAUCCAAGCUUUUGGCUUGCCUGGGCCACACUGAGUAAAGAGGAAUUGUCUUGGGCCUCAUUUAAGUAGGUUGCACUGAAAGUAAUGUCUCCAAAUUAUUUCCAUGGAAACUACAAGAAGUACAAAGAGUACCAUGACACUAUUUAAUAGAGCAAAUUCUUGGCUACAAAACACUAUUUUUCAGCAUAGU